GUAUUUGUUUUUAAAGGCACAAGGCCAAUGACGACAUUCAAAAUACAUUCAUGUGGUGUAUGUAGAAACAUAGACCUGAAUACAAGAAAAGCUGUUUGCACAGCAAUUCUCAAACCGAGUUUCCUCGAGAGUAUCAGAUCUACGCAAGGUGCACAGGUGGUUAAAAAUGGAGUCGGUGUGCACAUGCUCCUAAGAGCCAGCAACAACCUAACCAAGUUUAUUCAAUAAUGAUCCUUCCGCAGGUUCACCUACGGAAA
This 257-nucleotide unclassified non-coding RNA is filed under the name uncultured fungus. RNAcentral's name for it is "sequence contains ITS1". The record is from RNAcentral. Lineage: Eukaryota; Fungi.